This 1251-nucleotide long non-coding RNA is filed under the name Hordeum vulgare. RNAcentral's name for it is "long non-coding RNA (HVUL_LNC002232)". Lineage: Eukaryota; Viridiplantae; Streptophyta; Magnoliopsida; Poales; Poaceae. The record is from RNAcentral.
UGCUAGAAGACAAGUACAUUAAAUAUGAGAAAAGAAGGAAAAUAAAAGAUAAACAAAAAAUACUCAUAAUAUAAUAGCCAACCUGAUAGCCCAUAAUACUAUAUGAGUGGGAAUAGAUGAUGACUAUACAUGACAGUUUCAUAUAGCCAUCAAAUGACUAUAGUAUUAGCCUUUUUUAUCUCCGUGUAAAUUUAGCCGUUUUUUAUAGCAACCCAAAUAGCCACGAACACUCAACUCCGUAAUAAAUCAUUUGAAGCUUAUGCAUGAAAAUAUAUACGCUUGAGCAGAGCGGCAACAUGAGUUACUAUUGCCAUAUAUUAUGAUGUCAUGGCCUCUCAGCCUCCAUAUUUAACGCAUAAGGGCCAACUUUUGGUGCACACUUCAUCAAACAAAAUCAUGCGACAUGAAGAAAACUACAAAUGGUUCCUCAACUCACAUGGAGAUGAAAGAAGAUUGGAUGUACCAUUGAUGCGUGAAUCCCACGAGUCAGAUAAAUUUGGAGGCCACCAUGUAGCUACUUUGAGUCUACCUCCACCCAUUUCACUGUAGCGCAUCGACUUUUGGACGACUCUGCUAGAGUAGCCUCUAUUGCUAGCGAGAUCGGGAGAGAACUCUUGACAUGGUACAUAGCUGGUUCACUAUUUUUGGAUGCUCUUUCCAAAGAUGAAAUGGUUUUAGGUUUGCAAAUUGUGAAACCUUGAAAGGUGUACUCGCGGUAGCUGUUGGAACAUGUGUUCAAGUUCGAGUGAUGCACACAAGAUGAAAAUUAGUAGGAUAAAGUUCGAUCAUGAUAUGCAAAAUUAUGUUAUUGACAUGGGGCAACCUAUUUGCACAUUGACAUAGAAAAUUUGGAGUGAGAAAAUUUUCCUGAUCAUUAGAUUGAAAUUCAAUGGCCGGCAUGCGUAUUCUUUCUCAUGUCAUCUUCAUUCCUUGUCUUCCUCCUACCGAUGUCUUUUCUCUUCCUCCUGUCGCCCUACAUCGCUAGGCAGACCGCAUGUCUCUACAACCCGCGGUCAGUGGCGCUGCCACACCUUCCUCAAACCACCAUCUUUGUCAGUUUCCCUCCGCCCGAGUACUCUUCUUCCAAUGCUCGCCCUCCACCAAAGCCAGCCAACAUCAGACUCCCCUUUGCCACCUCGUUGCCUCAAUGCGACAUCUCCUUCUCUCUCAAAAUCGCUUGGUACGAAUUCUAUAUUUAGGCUACUUAUAUAUGGCAAAGGUGUACGGACAUACAAUCCAUUUAUAGUAGUU